AAGUAGCAAUACUUAGUGGCAGACGGGUGAGUAACAUGUGGGUAUCUGCCCUUUGGCCUGGAAUAACACGAGGAAACUUGUGCUAAUACCGGAUAAGUCUUUACGGAGAAAGCUUUAUGCACCAUUGGAUGAGCCCGCACUUGAUUAGUUUGUUGGUGGGGUAAUGGCCUACCAAGACUGUGAUCAAUAGCUGAUUUGAGAGGAUGAUCAGCCACAUUGGGACUGAGACACGGCCCAAACUCCUACAGGAGGCAGCAGUGGGGAAUCUUGCACAAUGGAGGAAACUCUGAUGCAGCGAUGCCGCGUGAGUGAAGAAGGCCCUUGGGUUGUAAAGCUCUUUCGUCGGGGAAGAAAAUGACUGUACCCGAAUAAGAAGGUCCGGCUAACUUCGUGCCAGCAGCCGCGGUAAU
Molecule: ribosomal RNA, 410 nt
Filed under: uncultured Alphaproteobacteria bacterium
Lineage: Bacteria; Pseudomonadati; Pseudomonadota; Alphaproteobacteria
Description: bacterial SSU rRNA
Rfam family: Bacterial small subunit ribosomal RNA
Source: RNAcentral